UUGAAUUGGUAAGGCCCAAAACUUGGAAGAGGCCAUUUGCCCAAGCCUACAUAUCAUUUAAAUGGUGGUUGGCCCAAACAAUUUGUAUGCAUGUAGCCCAUCAAAUUCAGCACUCUCUCUGCACAAGUAAUCAAAGAUUGUACGCAUGGAAAUGUCUUCUGCUCGGCAGGGGCUCAGUCUUCUGUUUUAUCUUUUUUAUAUGUAGUUCUUUUACAUUUUUUUAAUUCUGCUGUAUAUAUAUUUUUUCUUUUUUUCUUUUUGUAUUUUAACUGUUUUGUUUUGGGUGUUAAGAAAUUAUUUUUGCAUGUCCUAAGGAUCACCCUUCUUUUGAUCCACAAAAUGGGUUUGAACUCUUUGGGCUUGAAUUUGAGCCCCUCUUUUGUACUUAAUGCGAAAUUUUAUAAUGACUGUCGUGUAUGGAUUCCUCAUAUAAAUUUUUAUAUUAGUCAUAAGAUCAUUUUAUUAAAUUUAAGUGAAGUUAUUAUUCAGAUGAAUUAUGUGACUAAUAUAAAGAUCCAUAUUUAUAGUCCAUAUAUAAG
This 539-nucleotide long non-coding RNA is filed under the name Prunus persica (peach). Its description in RNAcentral is "long non-coding RNA (PPER_LNC003664)". Lineage: Eukaryota; Viridiplantae; Streptophyta; Magnoliopsida; Rosales; Rosaceae. The record is from RNAcentral.